CUUUCCUUCCUUCUUUCUCUCUUUCUUUUUUCUUUCUUUCUAACAAAACAAGGAGAAAAAUCAAUACAGUUUCUCAUCUUUAUCCAUAUGGAAAUGAUUUAUGUUUUUGGAAGUUUAUAAUUUUGAGAGAAAGCCUAUCCUGGGGCAAAUAGUAAUCCUGCCAAUCAGAAUACCAAGGAUCCUGAGAGGGACUCAGGUCUUUUCUACUAAUCUCUGAAUCACUUAGCCUCUAUUUCGUCAUAAGGAAUGUAACCACUUUAUGAAAAUAAUACAGAUUAACCAAGCCAUAGCUCUAGAAACCAGACUCCACAGGUUGCUGGGCCUCACUAGCUGUCUGAGAGCUUUAGGGCUGCCUUAGGAGAUAAUCGUGUCUUCCCAAGAAAGCUGAGUCCCUGGCCAAUGCAUGAACCAUUCUCAGACUCCAGCAAGGGUUGUUUUACACUUAGUGAAUCUAAUUACUUAGUAGAAUGAAUCUGUAAUUAAUUUUAAAAACAUAGCAAGCAUUGUUAUCUUGAGCUGAACAAAAUAGUAGCUUCAGCUUUCUAUAUAUAUAUUACAUUUAUUUCAAUAGUUAAUGCUUUUCCAAUCAAUGAAUGUUAAACAGGAUAGGAGGUUUUCAUUUCUUGAAAGAGUUUGUGCCAGUUUCUUCCAGACAAGGAAAGGCAACAUGGGAGGUAGGGCAGAGAAGUUGAUAAAUGGAAAACAUGUACACAGGGAAAUAUGCAAGAAGAAAUGUACAGAACCCCACAAUCACAUGCUGGCAGUAAAGGGGAAAAAUGUCCUUUUGUAAUGAAAUAUGAGAAACAGGAGAAAAUGGGAGGCUAAAAGGAAAAGAAUAAAAAAAUUAUGUCAGGGUACAGAACUAGGACCUGAAUUACACUCCAGAGGCAGACUCAGAUAGAAUGCUAAUAAAUUGCUCAACUAGAUAUUCCCAUAGUUAAGAAGUCCAAUGAGCCAAAUUAAAUAGAGGUCAAUCAGUGACGGCCUUCACUUUGUUUGGGAACAGGCUCUUGUAAAUAGGCCACAAUACAUUUUAUUUAUGCUUUUUUUCCCCAAACAUGAAACAUGUAAUCUCAGGAAAUAUAGAUUACUGUUUGGUUUCAAGCUCUGAUUGGACAUAGUUGUUGCAUAUGGGUGGGGGUCAGAUGGAGUGAGGUAGAAAAUUACUAUUUAGCACUGGCACCCAGAAAGAUGGGCCAUAAUUCAGAAGUGCUCCAAAUUACACCUAUCUAUAGAAGACUUCCCGCCUUUUUGAGGUGGUGGAAUAUGAACAGCAGUGCUUCCUGUGGUUUCUGAUUUCUUCCUUCAUGACACCUUUUCAGUGUUUGGUACAAGGUGCAUGUAUCAGGGUUUAAUAAGAAGGAGACACAGUGAUAUAGAAUGAGCGGUUUAUUCCAGGGAUUAGACCUCAUACAAGUGUGGGAUGUGAUGAAGUCAAUGGGAGUGUGUUGCAUCUGUCUGAUAACAGGCUGAAUUCUCUGGGUCAGCACGGCCAUCAGUAACAAAAGCUGGAUAUGAACUAGAGGAGAACAAAAAAGAAAUGGAAUUAGGAGGAAAAACUGGAACCCGUAUCAGCCUUUUACCAACCUCAAUGUGGAUGGCUUCCAGAGGGAUCGAGUGCUCUCUGCCAUAGAGCUGAAGACCUACCUAGCAUAGAACUUGGCAAAACUGAAGACAGAGCUUUGGGAACUUCAAUCACAGCUGCUUCACUAAGUGCAGGUGAGUCACCACAUCACGGAAAAGAUGUGCUUGCAAUCAUAGAGUUUGGUGCCCCCUUCAAAAGCCUGCUUCUUCAAUUCUGCUUUUCCAACCUCGUGCAAAUUUCCCUUAAGGCUAACCUUAACUCAGUGUGAAUCAGGAGAGGGAAUUCUGGAAAAUACAGUUCCCGAUUUAGCUAAGUUGAUACGGUAGAAAACUAUCAUAAUCCAUCCCUUGCCAACUUGGCAUCCAUGUCCACGUCUCUUAACUAAAGGUAACUUCCAAAUGAAGACAUUAGCAAAAUGAUGCUUCUACCAAAUAGGAUGCAACUAUCAGUUCUACAGAUGAAAAAACACUGAAAACAAAAGACGGCCAGGCGCAGUGGUCAUGCCUGUAAUCCCAGCACUUUGGGAGGCUGAGGUGGGUGGAUCACUUGAGGUCAGACGUUCAAGACCAGCCUGGCCAACAUGAUGAACCUGUCUCUACCAAAAACACAAAAAUUAGCUUGGCAUAGUGGUGCAUGCUCUAUGAUUCCCCUAUCAGGUUAGUGGCUUCAUGUAGAUUCCUGCAUAAUAGAGGAAUUACAUACCUGUAAUUCCAGCUACUCUAAUCACUCGAACCCAGGAGGCAGAGACUGCAGUGAGCCAAGAUUGCACCACUACUCGCCACCCUGGUUGAUAGAGUCAGACAAUGCCACAAAAAAAAAAAAAAAAAAAGAGGAGACAUAGCCUCAUAGGUUACUUUGUCCAUUUUGGGGACGAUGUGCAGUCCUUUUUUAGCUGAGAUCCACUUUCCCUUCGAUGUCAUGUACUUUAAAUAUAUUGAGAUAUAAGGAUGUUAUGGGUUGAAUUGUGUCUGUUAAAAAGCCAUGUUGAAGUGCUAAACCCUGGACCUUGUAAAUAUGAUCUUAUUUGGAAAUAGGUUCUUUGCGGAUAUAAUCAAGAAGAAGUCAUAUUGGAUUAUGGUGGGCUCUAAUUCAGUGACUGGUGUACUUAGGAGGGGAAUUUGAAGACAGACACAAAGAAUGUCAAGUAACAAUGCAGGCAGAGAUUGGACAAAGAAACAUCAAAGAUUACCAGCAACCAUCAGAGGCUACAAGAGAGUCAUUGAGCAGAUUCUCCCUCAGGGCCUCUAAAAAGGAAUUGACUCUGCCAUCACCUUGAUUUUGGACUUUUAGCAUACAGACUGCAGUAAAAUUAAUUUCCAUUGUUUUAAGCCACCCAAUUUGUGCUACUUUGUUAUAGCAGCCCUAGGGAACUAAUACAAAAACUAACUAUAGUUACCCCAUUUUAUAUUAGAUGGUGGAUGGGAGAGAAAAAAAGAAUUGAUUAAUAUAUGAUGAAAUACAUUUCUAUUAAGAAAUAUUUAUAAUCCUUUCCUUCCUAAUUUCUAUAACUGAUCUUGUAGUCAUAGCUGGUAUUUAUAACUUCCUUCUUUCACUACUCAUUCCAUAUACUUGUGUCCUCAGCAAGCACAUUGCCUAGUCAUGGUUUCUUGCCUAUUGGGGUGAUCUCAAUUUUCAUUUUUGACGGAUUCAGUCUUUUGCAGUUGAGCCCUAAUUGGGUUAUUUUCCGCCUACUUUGCUUGUUACAGUAACAAAAGUAAUUACAAGACUUGAAGGUAUAAGAUAUGACCUUGAGUUCCAGGCACACUUUUUCUUACUCCUACAAGCUAGUAGUAAUCCAAUUUCCCUUUGAUAGUCACAGUCAUCCCAGCCCAUACAUUAAUAUCUUACUUUUCUUAUUGAUUCUUUAGCAUGAGGAUCCCAAAGCCGCCUGCAGGGAAUAUCAACUUCUGUCUUGAUGGAAUCAUAGCUGUAUCUCCUAUUAGAAGCAUCUCUCCCUUGGAAACCAGAACUUCUAGACCAACAGAGUCUAAAGUUGAGAAUAGAAAGAAUAAAUUUUGCUGUUGAUCACUAUGGGUAACAGUGAGAGGAGUCCGUUCCAUCUUCACCCCUGGAUUCCUGAAUCUAUGAAAUCUGGAUAAGGGAGAAACAGCAAUAUGCAUUGAUGGAUCAUUUAGAGAAUUUACUGCAUCUUUCAGGACAUUAUCCUAGCCCUGCAAAGUGUUUUCAUCCAUCUAGCACAGUAAAUAAAUUGUUAAAAGAAGAAUUCCACCUUUCUACUGCUUUACAGUGAUGGAUAACAAGUUAAGACUAAUGAAUUCCACGAUCAUGAGUCUGCUAUUCUUUAUUUGCUGCAAAGUAAGUUCCUUGGUCAAAAGCAAAGCAUUGUGGAAUACCAUGAUGGGAAAUAAGAUAUAAGAAUUCUGUACGUCCAUAGAUGCUGAUUUUGGCAAAGGUAUUACAGAUAGGGAAGACAAAUCCCUAUGAAGAGUAAGUUUUUUAUGGAGCAAGAACAAAAUACUGCCCUUUCAUGCCUUGUGAGCAGAAGUUCAUGUUGCUGAACUCACGCAUACCCUCCAUGUCUACCGCCAUGGCUAUUUUGUUCAUGCACCUAUUGGUCAAGGACAGAAGAAACUGAAGAGAAAAAUCUGAUAGAGGCAGGUUCAAUAAGGAAAGCUCAUCUCUGAUAAACUCAUGAAGAUAAGACAUAUCAUCUGGGAAGGCUUGGCUGGGGCUGGAGAACCUACUGCCAAGAUAGCUCUCUCAAAUGACUGGUAAGUGCUUCUUACAGUUGACUUGGAACUCAUCCAAGGUUAUCCACUGGAUACCUUGGCUCCUCUCCACAUGGACCUCUCCAUGGGGAUGCUUGGGCUUCCUGAAAACAUGGCAGCUAGUUUCUAAGAACAAGUAUUCCAGAAGGCAUGGAUAAAAGUUGUAAGUAUUCUAAAUCACUUAAAAUCUGAAGUACUGGAUCACUUCUGCCAAAUUCCAUUUAUUAAGUGAAUCAGUAAUGCAAGCCCAGAUCUAAGGGCUGGGAAAUUAGACUUCACUUCUCAGUGCAUAGAGUAGCAAAGGACUUGUGGCCCCAUCUUUAAUCCAUGAUAGUUCACUUUGCACAACAAAGCCAAAACUAGGAGACUGGCAAAUGUUACUACCCUCAGAGGAGAGUUUUUUAGGAAAAUAAUAUCAAAUUUCACAGUUCUACGAAACCACUGGGGGCUCUACUGAGCAGUAUUUCAAAUAGAUUAUACUCUACCAAGUGAGCAAGAGAAGUUAGAGAGGUAGAGAAAAAGGCCCAAAGAAAAGAAUAGAACGCAAGUAUUUAUUCAUUAGUACUUGUUCCUUAUGUAUGUCAAUUCCAAGAAAGUCAUCAGAAAGACAGUUCCUUUCUGCUAAUCUGGACAUGAGUGUCUGGGAUUCUCUUAAAAGUGAUCUUCUCAAUGCCAGGCAGCACUGGACCUUAGCAUUUAUCUAUUUAUUUGUUCAUUCAACAAACAUGUGUUUCAUUUAUAUCUUUCACUUUAUAUUCUUGCCCAAACUAUGGCAAGUGUUUAUUGAGAAGACUCUACCCUUGAGGAGCCCACAGCCUUCCAUGUAUCUAUUUAGACUAUAGGUUAAAGAUGUACCUGGUCUUCCCUAUAACACCUAGGUCAGUGUCUUGCUUAUAGUAUUGAUCAGUAUUUUGUUACUGAGUGAUCAGAGCAUUUUUAUUCCGUUGGCUUUUGACAUCUAAAAUACUUGUUGGCUUAUAAAACCCCAGAAUAUUUAACAAUCAGCUCUCAUAAGCUGGCAUGUGGGAUAGUAUCAAAAAGCUCUCUUCUGAGGUAGAGCUUUAUCUCCUUACGAGGAUAAGGCUGUCACAGCAGACAGUGCCUCAAGGAUCUUUUUUUUUUUUUUUUUUUU
Sapajus apella (tufted capuchin) is the source of this 5446-nucleotide long non-coding RNA. RefSeq lists it as uncharacterized. NCBI's taxonomy places the organism in Eukaryota, Metazoa, Chordata, Mammalia, Primates, Cebidae. The record is from RefSeq and is a predicted model, not a curated record. The transcript has 2 exons.